RNAcentral lists this ribosomal RNA (255 nucleotides) under Pseudomonas sp. CAH-1. Its description in RNAcentral is "partial 23S ribosomal RNA". It matches the Rfam family "Bacterial large subunit ribosomal RNA", at positions 1420 to 1675 of the family's 2925-position model. Lineage: Bacteria; Pseudomonadati; Pseudomonadota; Gammaproteobacteria; Pseudomonadales; Pseudomonadaceae. The record is from RNAcentral.
GGAAAACAGGUUAAUAUUCCUGUACUUCCAGUUAUUGCGAUGGAGGGACGGAGAAGGUUAGGCCAGCCUGGCGUUGGUUGUCCAGGUUUAAGGUGGUAGGCUGAAAUCUUAGGCAAAUCCGGGAUUUCAAGGCCGAGAGCUGAUGACGAGUUGCCUUUAGGCGACGAAGUGGUUGAUACCAUGCUUCCAAGAAAAGCUCCUAAGCUUCAGAUAACUGGGAACCGUACCCCAAACCGACACAGGUGGUUAGGUAGA